RNAcentral lists this ribosomal RNA (465 nucleotides) under uncultured bacterium. RNAcentral's name for it is "partial 16S ribosomal RNA". It matches the Rfam family "Bacterial small subunit ribosomal RNA", at positions 28 to 507 of the family's 1533-position model. The record is from RNAcentral.
GACGAACGCUGGCGGCGUGCUUAACACAUGCAAGUCGAACGGAAAGGCCCCCUUGUGGGGUACUCGAGUGGCGAACGGGUGAGUAACACGUGAGUAACCUACCCUUGACUUUGGGAUAACUUCAGGAAACUGGGGCUAAUACCGGAUAGGAGCUCCUGCUGCAUGGUGGGGGUUGGAAAGUUUCGGCGGUUGGGGAUGGACUCGCGGCUUAUCAGCUUGUUGGUGGGGUAGUGGCUCACCAAGGCUUUGACGGGUAGCCGGCCUGAGAGGGUGACCGGCCACAUUGGGACUGAGAUACGGCCCAGACUCCUACGGGAGGCAGCAGUGGGGAAUAUUGCACAAUGGGCGGAAGCCUGAUGCAGCAAUGCCGCGUGCGGGAUGACGGCCUUCGGGUUGUAAACCGCUUUCGCCUGUGACGAAGCGUGAGUGACGGUAAUGGGUAAAGAAGCACCGGCUAACUACGUG